UUUUAUGGAGAGUUUGAUCCUGGCUCAGGAUGAACGCUGGCGGCGUGCCUAAUACAUGCAAGUCGAGCGAACGGACGAGAAGCUUGCUUCUCUGAUGUUAGCGGCGGACGGGUGAGUAACACGUGGAUAACCUACCUAUAAGACUGGGAUAACUUCUGGAAACCGGAGCUAAUACCGGAUAAUAUUUUGAACCGCAUGGUUCAAAAGUGAAAGACGGUCUUGCUGUCACUUAUAGAUGGAUCCGCGCUGCAUUAGCUAGUUGGUAAGGUAACGGCUUACCAAGGCAACGAUGCAUAGCCGACCUGAGAGGGUGAUCGGCCACACUGGAACUGAGACACGGUCCAGACUCCUACGGGAGGCAGCAGUAGGGAAUCUUCCGCAAUGGGCGAAAGCCUGACGGAGCAACGCCGCGUGAGUGAUGAAGGUCUUCGGAUCGUAAAACUCUGUUAUUAGGGAAGAACAUAUG
RNAcentral lists this ribosomal RNA (466 nucleotides) under Staphylococcus aureus. Its description in RNAcentral is "bacterial SSU rRNA". It matches the Rfam family "Bacterial small subunit ribosomal RNA", at positions 1 to 455 of the family's 1533-position model. The record is from RNAcentral. Lineage: Bacteria; Bacillati; Bacillota; Bacilli; Caryophanales; Staphylococcaceae.